This 492-nucleotide ribosomal RNA is filed under the name uncultured bacterium. RNAcentral describes it as "partial 16S ribosomal RNA". It matches the Rfam family "Bacterial small subunit ribosomal RNA", at positions 29 to 507 of the family's 1533-position model. The record is from RNAcentral.
AGUGAACGCUGGCGGUAGGCCUAACACAUGCAAGUCGAACGGCAGCACAGUAAGAGCUUGCUCUUACGGGUGGCGAGUGGCGGACGGGUGAGGAAUACAUCGGAAUCUACUUUUUCGUGGGGGAUAACGUAGGGAAACUUACGCUAAUACCGCAUACGACCUACGGGUGAAAGCAGGGGAUCUUCGGAACUUGCGCGAUUGAAUGAGCCGAUGUCGGCUUAGCUAGUUGGCGGGGUAAAGGCCCACCAAGGCGACGAUCCGUAGCUGGUCUGAGAGGAUGAUCAGCCACACUGGAACUGAGACACGGUCCAGACUCCUACGGGAGGGAGCAGUGGGGAAUAUUGGACAAUGGGCGCAAGCCUGAUCCAGCCAUACCGCGUGGGUGAAGAAGGCCUUCGGGUUGUAAAGCCCUUUUGUUGGGAAAGAAAAGCAGCAGGUUAAUACCCCGCUGUUCUGACGGUACCCAAAGAAUAAGCACCGGCUAACUUCGUG